Molecule: long non-coding RNA, 348 nt
Filed under: Rattus norvegicus (Norway rat)
Lineage: Eukaryota; Metazoa; Chordata; Mammalia; Rodentia; Muridae
Description: long non-coding RNA NONRATT020498
Source: RNAcentral
AUCUCCCAGCCGUGUUCCCAAGAACCAGACUUCCUGCAGUUUGCCCCCUGCUAGGUAUCAGGUUCCUAGGCAUUGUGUGGCUAGCCCUGGCUGUACCCAACACAGAAUGUGUGAAACUUGGGGUGCCUCCAGGAAGACAGUUCAAACCCAAAGGUUUACUCUACUGUCCAGCGAUAGGAUGUUUUGGUUUCAGUCAGGAAGUAGAGGCAUGGGGAGCAGAGCAGAGCAGGAGAGCCAAGGUCAGUUUGGGGAUGGCCUCACAGGCUCUUCUGAGAAACAGAUAAAUUCAAGCACAAAGCUAGACAAGUUGCAGACUCCCAGAGGGGAGAUGGGAGGCCUGAGACAUGU